CCCCAUUGGACUUGUACGGGCAGAGAACGUGUGUUUGGUGGGAUCACGGUGGGAUAUUAAGUAGCGUGUCGCAGCUUAGUAAAGGCCUAUUUAGUUUUUUAAAAGAAUCGUUUAGACUUACUUACAAUAUCAAAGAAACAGAAAAAUAAAAUUAAGUCACAAAAAUCAAAUCACUUACACCAUACUACGGACUUUAUUCUUUCAUUACGUUUUGGUUUGUACAAUUUGAAUGUGUUUUCAAACAGGUAAACAAAACUUUUAAUUUGACGAAAUAUUCACAUAAACAAAACCGAAUUACAACUCUUUUGAUUCGAAGGCUAUGGAUUUUAAGGGUAAUAUUGGCCAGUUGUAAUAAAAACAAAAAAAAAAAGAAAAGUAAAUGUCAAAUUCUGACAUAAAAACAUGUUGAUAUUUUUCGUUCCAAGUUAUCAAUUUUGCUGUUGCUAUUAUUGAUUUUUUGCCAUCAGUAUUUACUAAAAUUGAUGACAAGAAAAAGGUUUGUUUUCCGGCAAUUUAUCAUAUGGGAUAUAUGCAGUGAAUACAUGUUACCAAACUAAAAUACCUGUUUUGGCGGCUCGUCUUUUGGUGGAGGAUAUAAAAUCUACAUUUAGAGUACAUGUAUCUACAAUUAGAGAAUUUACAGAAUUACUGUUUAGCACUUAGUGUUUGUUUGAUUGACCAUGAAAAUAAAACAACACAAAACGAUGACGUCAAGAGCUCAAUUCAUUACCGUCAAAAACUGUCGCUUGCGAAUUGAGCAACGAAACUAUCAAAGUUUAAGUUCAUAAAUCAGAAGAAACCGGAGUUGGCAGAAAAAAGACAAAGUUCCUACAGAUUGCCACCAAAAAUGGAAAGUCAAGUUCACACCAAGAGAAGCAUCGGCUGUAGUCGCGGUCACAGAAAAGAAAUGAUCACAGGUAAUUACAAAAUCAUUUAUUACUUCGUCACUAUCUCAUUUCCUUUUAACUCAAUCCAGCAUCUUGUAAACAAUUUUUAAGCCGUUAAUAGUAAAUGUAGUACUUAAGUGGGAAAAAUCGUCUAGGUUUAUUCAAUAGCAUUCGACUGUAAAAAUUAAAAAGUUAAAAUUCCUCACAAUACUUUCCAAUGGUGAUCUAAUAUAAACAAUGAGAAAUAAUAUGAAUACAACUGAUUAUAACAAACAAGAACUUUUAUUUUUAGUUUAUGCAAUCUGGUGUAGAUACACAAGGAUUUAUAUGGUUUACGUUAAAUUUGACUAGAUAAGUAAAUUAAAUAAAACUGAACAACGAACGCUGCUUACGAUAUAAAAAGAACCUUUAUUUCAUCUUUGUCGAACUAUUUGUGAAAGGAAAGUUCCCAAAAGUGGGCUAAAAGUUAUUCAUUCAUAAGAAGAAAACAAAAUAAAAAUAUUCCAAUAUAUAUUAUAGAUUCACACUAUGAUAGAAGUGAUUCUUUGCACCGAAUUACUAAUAGCUCGGCAAUAACGGCCUUUCAAAGUAACAACAAGGGUUCCAAAAUAGUAUGCACUUGUUAUGGUACUUAGGACAUUUCAAAAACAAUGUACUCGUAGUACGCCAAUUUGUAGCCCUCUUUGCUUUAUGUGUCCCUAGUAUUGAACUCGUAGUUACUAUGAUAUCUCUGUCUU
Trichoplusia ni (cabbage looper) is the source of this 1624-nucleotide long non-coding RNA. RefSeq lists it as uncharacterized. NCBI's taxonomy places the organism in Eukaryota, Metazoa, Arthropoda, Insecta, Lepidoptera, Noctuidae. The transcript has 4 exons. The record is from RefSeq and is a predicted model, not a curated record.